This is a long non-coding RNA of Austrofundulus limnaeus, 710 nucleotides long. RefSeq lists it as uncharacterized. The record is from RefSeq and is a predicted model, not a curated record. The transcript is spliced from 3 exons. Lineage: Eukaryota; Metazoa; Chordata; Actinopteri; Cyprinodontiformes; Rivulidae.
GUGUGUGUGUGUGUGUGUGUGUGUUCAGUUUAUUUUCUUAUCUUCAGUCACCUCAUGCUCAGAUGGUUGACAUCCAGACAUGUCUGAGUCAGGUAUGAUGUGUGUGUGUGUGUUGUGUUGUGUUGUGUUGCUUCAGUGGGAAAGUUUGACCGUUAACAGUGUGUUGCUCAUAAAGAGUAACUCAGCCUGUGAUGUAAAAUAAACCGUCCACAGCUCCUGUUAACUACCGUGUGAAACAGCCCGACCACAAGGCCCCAUCAAAGAGGAGACGGGUGGGCGAUGGACCCCUUCAUGCUGGUGCUGCUGCAGGACGAGGACCUGGGCCUGUUGGAUCCAGUUCAUUCUUCAGCUUCUUCUGGUUUAAAACAUAAAACACUUUCGGCCGACGAGUAAAAACUCGCUCAACAGGAUCCAAACACCAAGACUUUCUCCACGCUUCCAGCUCCCGCCCAAAACCCACCAGGCUUCCAAGAAACACAGAGGAGGUUUUAAUGUGGAAAGUUACGAGAUGUUUCCAGCUCCUCAUCUUCCUGCAGCAGGAACCGGAGGGACCGUCCAGGAYGCUGGUUUCAACACGGAGGCCUUAAAGCUCCGUCAGCCUCCAUCUGUGACGCAGAAACUGUUUGAAAUGAACGAUUACUUCAGAACAAGCUUGUGCAGGGUGAGCGGAAAUAAGAGUGGGCGGAGCUUUCCUGAAAAAAAAAAUCACA